AGCAGCCGCGGUAAUUCCAGCUCCAAUAGCGUAUAUUAAAGUUGUUGCAGUUAAAAAGCUCGUAGUUGAAUUUCGGGAUCAUCAGGUUGGUCGUGCCUCUGGUAUGUACUGAUUUCGAUGGUUCCUCCUUCUUGAAGAACCGUAAUGCCAUUAAUUUGGUGUUGCGGGGAAACAGGACUGUUACUUUGAAAAAAUUAGAGUGUUUAAAGCAGGCAAUCGCUUGAAUACAUUAGCAUGGAAUAAUGAAAUAGGACGUUCGAUCCUAUUUUGUUGGUUUCUAGGAUUGACGUAAUGAUUAAUAGGGAUAGUUGGGGGCAUUAGUAUUCAAUUGUCAGAGGUGAAAUUCUUGGAUUUAUUGAAGACUAACUACUGCGAAAGCAUUUGCCAAGGAUGUUUUCAUUAAUCAAGAACGAAAGUUAGGGGAUCGAAGACGAUCAGAUACCGUCGUAGUCUUAACCAUAAACUAUGCCGACUAGGGAUCGGAUGAUGUUAAUUUUUUAAUGACUCAUUCGCGCCUUAA
This 520-nucleotide ribosomal RNA is filed under the name uncultured Glomus. RNAcentral's name for it is "SSU rRNA". It matches the Rfam family "Eukaryotic small subunit ribosomal RNA", at positions 569 to 1091 of the family's 1831-position model. Lineage: Eukaryota; Fungi; Glomeromycota; Glomeromycetes; Glomerales; Glomeraceae. The record is from RNAcentral.